CCUACGGGUGGCAGCAGUGAGGAAUAUUGGUCAAUGGGCGUAAGCCUGAACCAGCCAAGUCGCGUGAGGGAUGAAGGUCCUAUGGAUCGUAAACCUCUUUUAUAAGGGAAUAAAGUGUGGGACGUGUCCUAUUUUGUAUGUACCUUAUGCAUAAAGAUCGGCUAACUCCUUGUCAGCAGCCGCGGUAAUACGGAGGGUCCGAGCGUUAUCCGGAUUUAUUGGGUGUAAAGGGUGCGUAGGCGGCCUUGUAAGUCAGCGGUGAAAGUCUGUGGCUCAACCAUCGAAUUGCCGUUGAAACUGGGGGGCUGGAGUAUGGUUGAGGCAGGCGGAAUGCGUGGUGUAGCGGUGAAAUGCUUAGAUAUCACGCAGAACCCCGAUGGCGAAGGCAGCCUGCCAAGCCAUGACUGACGCUGAUGCACGAAAGCGUGGGGAUCAAACAGGAUUAGAUACCCUUGUAGUC
This 460-nucleotide ribosomal RNA is filed under the name uncultured bacterium. Its description in RNAcentral is "partial 16S ribosomal RNA". It matches the Rfam family "Bacterial small subunit ribosomal RNA", at positions 338 to 795 of the family's 1533-position model. The record is from RNAcentral.